This 415-nucleotide ribosomal RNA is filed under the name uncultured Bacillus sp. Its description in RNAcentral is "bacterial SSU rRNA". It matches the Rfam family "Bacterial small subunit ribosomal RNA", at positions 505 to 918 of the family's 1533-position model. The record is from RNAcentral. Lineage: Bacteria; Bacillati; Bacillota; Bacilli; Caryophanales; Bacillaceae.
GUGCCAGCAGCCGCGGUAAUACGUAGGUGGCAAGCGUUGUCCGGAAUUAUUGGGCGUAAAGCGCGCGCAGGCGGUUUCUUAAGUCUGAUGUGAAAGCCCACGGCUCAACCGUGGAGGGUCAUUGGAAACUGGGGAACUUGAGUGCAGAAGAGGAGAGUGGAAUUCCACGUGUAGCGGUGAAAUGCGUAGAGAUGUGGAGGAACACCAGUGGCGAAGGCGACUCUCUGGUCUGUAACUGACGCUGAGGCGCGAAAGCGUGGGGAGCAAACGGGAUUAGAUACCCGGGUAGUCCACGCCGUAAACGAUGGGCACUAGGUGUCGGGGGUAUCGACCCCCUCGGUGCCGGCGCAAACGCAAUAAGUGCCCCGCCUGGGGAGUACGGCCGCAAGGCUAAAACUCAAAGAAAUUGACGGGA